RNAcentral lists this ribosomal RNA (253 nucleotides) under uncultured bacterium. RNAcentral describes it as "partial 16S ribosomal RNA". It matches the Rfam family "Bacterial small subunit ribosomal RNA", at positions 524 to 776 of the family's 1533-position model. The record is from RNAcentral.
UACGAAGGGUGCUAGCGUUGUUCGGAAUCACUGGGCGUAAAGCGCGCGUAGGCGGCUUUGCAAGUCAGGGGUGAAAUCCCACAGCUUAACUGUGGAAUUGCCUUUGAAACUGCAAAGCUAGAGUGUCGGAGGGGAUAGCGGAAUUGCUAAUGUAGAGGUGAAAUUCGUAGAUAUUAGCAGGAACACCGGUGGCGAAGGCGGCUAUCUGGACGACAACUGACGCUGAGGCGCGAAAGUGUGGGGAUCAAACAGG